GACGUAGGGCGCAAGCGUUGUCCGGAUUUACUGGGCGUAAAGAGCGCGCAGGCGGUCGUACAAGUCGCGUGUGAAAGCCCCCGGCUCAACUGGGGAGGGUCACGCGAUACUGAUCGACUCGAAGGCAGGAGAGGGUAGUGGAAUUCCCGGUGUAGUGGUGAAAUGCGUAGAUAUCGGGAGGAACACCAGUGGCGAAGGCGGCUUGCCAGAAUGCGCUCGACGGUGAGGGAUGAAAGCUGGGGGAGCAAACCGG
Molecule: ribosomal RNA, 253 nt
Filed under: uncultured bacterium
Lineage: Bacteria
Description: partial 16S ribosomal RNA
Rfam family: Bacterial small subunit ribosomal RNA
Source: RNAcentral